RNAcentral lists this transfer RNA (73 nucleotides) under Ovis aries (sheep). It matches the Rfam family "tRNA". Rfam says of the family: Transfer RNA (tRNA) molecules are approximately 80 nucleotides in length. Their secondary structure includes four short double-helical elements and three loops (D, anti-codon, and T loops). The record is from Rfam by way of RNAcentral. Lineage: Eukaryota; Metazoa; Chordata; Mammalia; Artiodactyla; Bovidae.
UCUAUGGUGGUUCUGUGGUUAGAACUUGGCACUUUUUCUGCUGUGAGCCUGGGUUCAAUCCCUGGUCAUGGAA